This 52-nucleotide transfer RNA is filed under the name Psoroptes ovis (sheep scab mite). RNAcentral's name for it is "tRNA-Val". The record is from RNAcentral. Lineage: Eukaryota; Metazoa; Arthropoda; Arachnida; Sarcoptiformes; Psoroptidae.
UUUAGGGUUUUUGGGUUUCUGCUUACAACAAAAAAGAUUUUAACCCUUUUUC